UACGGGGGGAGCAAGCGUUGUUCGGAUUUACUGGGCGUAAAGGGCGCGUAGGCGGCCACCGCAAGUCGACUGUGAAAUCUCCGGGCUUAACCCGGAAAGGUCAGCCGAUACUGCGGGGCUAGAGUGCAGAAGGGGCAACUGGAAUUCUCGGUGUAGCGGUGAAAUGCGUAGAUAUCGAGAGGAACACCUGCGGCGAAGGCGGGUUGCUGGGCUGACACUGACGCUGAAGCGCGAAAGCUAGGGUAGCAAACGGG
Molecule: ribosomal RNA, 254 nt
Filed under: uncultured bacterium
Lineage: Bacteria
Description: partial 16S ribosomal RNA
Rfam family: Bacterial small subunit ribosomal RNA
Source: RNAcentral